This 2117-nucleotide ribosomal RNA is filed under the name Triticum aestivum (bread wheat). Its description in RNAcentral is "partial small subunit ribosomal RNA". The record is from RNAcentral. Lineage: Eukaryota; Viridiplantae; Streptophyta; Magnoliopsida; Poales; Poaceae.
UGGCGGGCUUGCGCGAGCCAUGGGAAGUGGCCAUGCGAAGCACUGGUAGCAGAGUCCUAGCUGUAGAGACCUCGGACCUCUGAUCUUUCCAGGAGAGUUCCGACACUUAAGGUCUUUACCCCAAAUACAUUCCUCGUCUACCAAGACACUACAGUUGAGUUUAAAACCUAGUUUCCUUAUCCUGGAAGGAGUCAUCCCCAGUUCUAUCGUUUCUAAAGUAUAUAUCCAAACCUUGUGGAAGAAAGUUUCAUAUAGUUUUUCCUUUUGCCGGAGAUAAGUCCUUUAUUUUAAGUUGUUCUACAGUAAUGUAUAGGCGUGUGUAAAUCGUCGUCGCCUGGUUUCCCAAUGUGGGUAAUUCUAAGGAGGUGUACUUUAAGCCUGGUUCUAGAAAAAGUACUAAAUGUUAUACAGGUGGCUAUUAUAUCUUCGAUUACCUAAGCUUAAAUUACUUCACAACUACCUUGUUAUAAUAGGAACCAAACGUGUCAUGUACCAGUACGUUUCCCAUACGUAGCUGGGUUUAAAAGUACUGUAUACAAAUUACAAGGAAGUAUUUCAUUUGAGCUGUCAUAACAUGUACCUUUAUGACUUUCGAUGUAUGCGCUUGACGUUCUACAAUAAUGCUAGGCUACAAUAGUUUAGAACAAGUCCGCUUGCGUGGAAUGACUUUUUAUAUCCAUAAACCAAACCUUUUAGGCGGUAAGUUACCUUGGUUCUGGGUUCGUGAAUACAUCUACCGGAUUAUGGAGAAUAUCAUUUCCGCAUAGCCUUUCCCAACUACGAACGACAUCAAGUUAAGUAAAGUUUCUAAGAACUUGGAACGGUCGGUUAAUAAUCACAACCCUGUUACCUCUAAGAAUCAGACGAACGACUCUAGAUAUGUUUCGGUCUGGAGGUUGAAAGAGACCUUAUAUUGUAUUUCCAGAACAAAUCCUUGAAACUGCACCUACGUCUUGUAUGGUUUUGUUUAAUGGAAGAAUUUCUACAUUUUGCACUUCAACGCCCUUUAGUUCUAAAACACCACUUUCUACAACACGUACAUGGUUGUACCAACACAGGCCGAAAAGAACUAGUCCUUCCCCUCCGUAGAUACGGUGAGUGGGUCAUGUAGUGAUCAGACUUUGGUUAGUACGCGUGACAGUUCGAACAACCACUCUACUCUUUGGUAACCAAAAUAACCCACCACCGCCUUUUCCGGUUCUCGGAGUACCGUAGUUAAUAGUCUCGUGAUGUGCUAGAGGUACUUCAAUUAUAUACAGGACAUGUCAAAACACGUAGUUUGUAACAUCACUGUAUAAUGCCCUCUCACUUUUAGUCUCAACGUACAAACUUCUUCUGACAAAGAUACCACGCGUUUUUGAUACUCCUACGGUCGUUAUAAUAAUACCUGUGUAACAAACGACUGAUGUUCGGUUGAUAAUAGGGGUUUCUACAUCUAGUAGAUAAAAGCAACUACUUCAGAGGGUAACGUUGUCCAUGCUUCAUACACUAUCCCUGCGUGCGAAGAGAAUAAGGAGAACCCUUGUCCAAAGUUAAGAUAGACCUAUACACGCUGGUAUAAUGUAGACACCACCUGGGACUUGAAUCCAGUUUAUAAGUACCUCGAGAUCUGCUAGGGAUACCACUCUUGACCAGUCACAACGAGCUUAUAUUGUAAAACGACUUCCUCAGUAAGAUGUCUAGGCCCAGCAGUAUGUUAUGGUUUUUUCCUCGUUAACUUAAAGACUCCAAAAUAUCCUUGUGCGAACGUGUGUCUUACCUAUUUACGUUCUUUGACAACGUCUUACAACCUCUAAAGUCUUGUAACUAUAUGUGAUUUCUCCUAUAACUUUACUAGAAUGACCAAUGGAUAGGCUACUAGGAUGGCUCUUACGUUCUUCUUGAGGUCUUAGUAUUCGCUGACUUCCUAAACUUAGAAGUAUUGGACUUGAAGUUCAUUGAGGUCGAAAACAUGAAAUUCACAUUGACCAUUGACACACUACAACAUUAGGUUGUUAUUUGAAACUAAAAAGAUCCGAUGUUUCCAAACUUUCUUAUAGAAUUCACUCAACAACAUAGAUAGUACGAAGUAAGAUUUAAAAACUCAUAUAACAAAAUAUUACUACUUCUACAAAAAA